CUGGUUUUCCAGGCAAAUCCGGAAAAUCAAGGCUGAGGCGUGAUGACGAGGCACUACGGUGCUGAAGCAACAAAUGCCCUGCUUCCAGGAAAAGCCUCUAAGCAUCAGGUAACAUCAAAUCGUACCCCAAACCGACACAGGUGGUCAGGUAGAGAAUACCAAGGCGCUUGAGAGAACUCGGGUGAAGGAACUAGGCAAAAUGGUGCCGUAACUUCGGGAGAAGGCACGCUGAUAUGUAGGUGAAGCGACUUGCUCGUGGAGCUGAAAUCAGUCGAAGAUACCAGCUGGCUGCAACUGUUUAUUAAAAACACAGCACUGUGCAAACACGAAAGUGGACGUAUACGGUGUGACGCCUGCCCGGUGCCGGAA
RNAcentral lists this ribosomal RNA (369 nucleotides) under Escherichia coli. Its description in RNAcentral is "partial 23S ribosomal RNA". It matches the Rfam family "Bacterial large subunit ribosomal RNA", at positions 1525 to 1874 of the family's 2925-position model. Lineage: Bacteria; Pseudomonadati; Pseudomonadota; Gammaproteobacteria; Enterobacterales; Enterobacteriaceae. The record is from RNAcentral.